Molecule: long non-coding RNA, 744 nt
Organism: Pseudophryne corroboree (corroboree frog)
Lineage: Eukaryota; Metazoa; Chordata; Amphibia; Anura; Myobatrachidae
Exons: 3
Source: RefSeq, a predicted model, not a curated record
AUAAUUAUACAACAAAAGAAGAACGAGAUUAAAAUAUAUUUUCCGAUUUAUUUGAGGACCACAGCGUAUAAUUAUACCCUGCAGUAAUGGUUAACAUAGAACUUAGGAAUUUUACAGUUAAGUAGUUAUGAACUUUUUGUCACAAUAUCAUUUACUUGACAGAAAUAAAAUUUUAUUUUUAUUUUACAGCAACUGUGGAUUCCAGCCGAACUCCAUCCUGUACAGGAAGAAUAUUUGAAUUAAGGACAACACAUUUAUCAAACAUGGAAUAAUUCAAAUAGAUGCAAUUAUGUUUAUAAUCUACCGAGGAUAGUUCGUCUGUCUCAACUCCGUAUACCCCAUGUGAAAGAAGACGGAUUUAUGCUGUGACUAAUCUCAAUGCAAGUGCUGUAGAUGAGAGUACUUCCACUGUGUGCUGUUCCUGUAACGUGUACCUCCACUACACAACCUGCCAGCAGAAACCUACGCAAUGCACCCCAGAUGGUUGCCACGGAUGGCUCCUCCGUGGGCAGGAUGUACUUCACAUGGAUCUUUCCGUGCAGUGUAUAGCAUACUACUACACAAGUGUUUUCCCAUAUAUGCAUUCAGACCUUGUAUGGCUCACCUCUCACAGUGUCACCUCCGUAGUAUGCCCAACAUUGCUGCCUCAUUUGGUACACUUGUGGAUGGGAUGAAAAAUACAUGGACCUGACGGCUUUGUUGGGAUCGUACUUUGAGCAUUAGGAUGCUGCAAUCACCCCAUUU